CAAUAAAGGUGAGACAUCACAUGAGUGAG
RNAcentral lists this non-coding RNA (29 nucleotides) under Cricetulus griseus (Chinese hamster). The record is from RNAcentral. Lineage: Eukaryota; Metazoa; Chordata; Mammalia; Rodentia; Cricetidae.